GAUGAAGAACGUAGCGAAAUGCGAUAAGUAAUGUGAAUUGCAGAAUUCAGUGAAUCAUCGAAUCUUUGAACGCACAUUGCGCCCCCCAGUAUUCUGGCGGGCAUGCCUGUUCGAGCGUCAUUUCAACCAUCAAGCCCUGCUUGUGUUGGGGUCCUGCGGCUGCCCGCAGGCCCUGAAAACCAGUGGCGGGCUCGCUAGUCACACCGAGCGCAGUAGCACAUCUCGCUCAGGGCGUGCGGCGGGCUCCAGCCGUUAAAAGCCUUAUUUACCCAAGGUUGACCUCGGAUCAGGUAGGAAGACCCGCUGAACUUAAGCAUAUCAAUAAGCGGAGGA
RNAcentral lists this unclassified non-coding RNA (333 nucleotides) under soil metagenome. RNAcentral's name for it is "partial contains 5.8S ribosomal RNA, internal transcribed spacer 2, and large subunit ribosomal RNA". The stretch from base 1 to 120 matches the Rfam family "5.8S ribosomal RNA", at positions 35 to 154 of the family's 154-position model. The record is from RNAcentral.